RNAcentral lists this long non-coding RNA (645 nucleotides) under Fukomys damarensis (Damara mole-rat). RNAcentral describes it as "lncRNA (ENSFDAG00000028205.1)". The record is from RNAcentral. Lineage: Eukaryota; Metazoa; Chordata; Mammalia; Rodentia; Bathyergidae.
CCCAGGCCUCUUCCACAUCUGGUCACACAGGAAGCAGCAGAGUCCCCGCUAUUGCUGCGGCCUGUGUCACAGUGUCACCUGUCACCUGGCUGCUGGAGAGCUCCCUGUACACAGAUGAAGAGCAACAGCGAAUCUGCUGCGAAACUAGUCCUGACUUCGGGGGUUCCGAAGUGAUCUCAGGGGACCUCGGAGGUUCCCUGACCCGUUCACUCUGAGAACCACUGGUGGAAGGGAAAGAAAUAAAGGAGAAAGGGCGAGAGGAGCGAUUUUAGAUAGGAGGAGGGGUCAGGAAAUACCACAAUGAGAAAGCGGAACCUGAGGUUUUGGGACGAGAAGGACCCAAUCCUGAGCACAGAUAACAAGAAGCAGAACAGGCCCGGAAUAGGAGGAGCUAGAGAAAUGUGAGACCCUGAGAAGAGCCCGCCCUGGAGAGAGCGUGGUGCCCGGGCCAGGGCGCCAGGACCCCUGCUCACACAGCAGCAGCAGCAGCAGCAGCACUCUGCAGGAUGGAGGCCAGUACUUGCACACGUGAAAGGUGCAGCCAGACGACGCACAACAAAAAUAUGCUGGUGUGAACACAGAAAAAAACAGCGCACGAGCCUGAGCUCCGUUUCUAUUCCUCCGCAGUCCCAGCUUGACACCCCU